This is an RNA transcript of Acinonyx jubatus (cheetah), 10548 nucleotides long. It is a transcript of the gene named DEAD-box helicase 10, with no coding region annotated. NCBI's taxonomy places the organism in Eukaryota, Metazoa, Chordata, Mammalia, Carnivora, Felidae. The transcript is spliced from 19 exons. The record is from RefSeq and is a predicted model, not a curated record.
GUCUCCCUCUCCCCCACGCUGGUUCCGCGUCUCCUCAGAACCGUGCCUCCGCCUGGUCUGAGGUGUCUCGCGUGUGGGGGCAGUCUGGGCUGUCGCCGCCGCCGCGAUGGGCAAAACUGCCGACUGUCGGGGCCCGGAAGGCCGGCCCGACCCGGUGCGGAGCUUCAACCGUUGGAAGAAGAAACACAGCCACAAGCAGAGCCAAAAGAAGCAGUUGAGGAAGCAGCUGAAGAAGCCCGAGUGGCAGGUGGAGCGCGAGAGUAUCAGCCGCCUCAUGCAGAACUACGAGAAGAUAAAUGUAAAUGAAAUUACAAGAUUUUCAGAUUUCCCUUUGUCCAAAAAAACAUUAAAAGGUUUGCAAGAAGCCCAGUACCGUUUGGUAACUGAGAUACAGAAGCAGACUAUUGGAUUGGCUUUGCAAGGGAAAGAUGUUCUUGGAGCUGCCAAGACAGGAUCUGGCAAGACUUUGGCUUUCCUUGUUCCAGUGUUGGAAGCCUUAUAUCGUUUGCAGUGGACGUCAACAGACGGGCUGGGGGUUCUGAUUAUAUCACCCACAAGAGAACUGGCCUAUCAGACUUUUGAGGUUCUCCGAAAAGUAGGAAAGAAUCAUGACUUUUCGGCUGGUCUCAUCAUUGGUGGAAAGGAUCUGAAACAUGAAGCUGAGAGGAUCAAUAACAUAAAUAUACUUGUUUGUACUCCGGGUCGGCUUCUUCAACACAUGGAUGAAACAAUAUGUUUUCAUGCUACCAAUCUCCAAAUGUUAGUUCUUGAUGAAGCAGAUAGAAUCUUGGAUAUGGGCUUUGCUGAUACCAUGAAUGCUAUUAUUGAAAAUCUUCCCAAGAAACGUCAGACUUUGCUUUUCUCAGCUACCCAAACCAAAUCUGUAAAGGACCUUGCACGCUUGAGUUUGAAAAACCCUGAGUAUGUCUGGGUUCAUGAAAAAGCAAAAUACAGCACCCCUGCCACUUUGGAACAGAACUACAUAGUUUGCGAGCUGCAGCAAAAAAUAAGUGUGUUGUAUUCCUUUUUGAGAAGCCACCUGAAGAAGAAAAGUAUUGUAUUUUUCUCCAGUUGUAAAGAGGUCCAGUACCUGUACCGGGUGUUCUGUCGGCUACGUCCUGGGAUCUCUAUCCUUGCGCUGCACGGCCGGCAGCAGCAGAUGAGAAGGAUGGAGGUCUACAAUGAAUUCGUCCGCAAGAAGGCUGCAGUCCUCUUUGCUACUGACAUUGCAGCCAGGGGGCUGGAUUUCCCAGCUGUGAAUUGGGUUCUUCAGUUUGAUUGUCCAGAGGAUGCCAACACAUACAUUCACCGAGCAGGUAGAACUGCCAGGUACAAAGAGGAUGGUGAAGCUUUAUUAAUUUUACUUCCCUCCGAAGAAAAAGGGAUGGUGCAGCAGCUUCUCCAGAAGAAAGUGCCUGUGAAGGAAAUCAGAAUUAAUCCAGAAAAACUUAUAGACGUCCAGAAAAAAUUGGAAUCAUUUUUAGCACAAGAUCAAGAUUUAAAAGAAAGAGCUCAAAGGUGUUUUGUCUCCUAUAUACGCUCAGUGUAUCUGAUGAAGGAUAAAGAAAUAUUUGAUGUGAGCAAGUUACCUAUACCUGAAUAUGCCCUAUCUCUUGGUCUUGCUGUGGCACCUCGGGUAAGAUUUCUUCAGAAAAUGCAGAAACAACCCCCCAAAGAAUUGGUGGUGAGCCAAGAUCACAAACAAAUUGAGCCAAGGGCUCCCUCCCUCACCAAUGAUGAAGUAGAAGAAUUUAGAGCCUACUUCAAUGAGAAAAUGUCCAUCCUUCAGAAAGGUGGGAAAAGACCAGAAGAGACAGAAUACACACCGGGUAAGGGGAUUAGUGAUGAAGAGGAAGAAGAGAAGGAAGAUGAGGAAGAAAUGGAAGAGAAACUGGCAAAAGCAAAAGAGUCUCCACUUCAGUCUGUCCCUAGCACUGGGGAGUCCAAGGAAGCCCCUGGGCAGUUCUUAGACAGAGAUGAGGACGAGGACGAUGGACACGAUGGUGAUUUCUUUACAGUGAAGCGGCACAAUGUGUUUGGGUUGGACCUUAAAGAGAAUAAAACACCACAGAAGAAAGAACCUUCUAAAUCCAGUGUCAAGAAGAAAGUGACCAAGGUCGCAGAAGCAAAAAAAGUAAUGAAGAGAAAUUUUAAAGUGAAUAAGAAGAUAACAUUUACUGAGGAAGGGGAGUCGGUUCAGCAGUGGCCUCAGAUGCAGAAGUCUGUCUCCAAGGAUGCCGAAGAGGAGGAGGACAGCACUGGGGGCAUCAACUUAGAUAAAGCAAAGGAAAGGCUUCAAGAAGAGGACAAAUUUGACAAAGAAGAGUAUAGGAAGAAGAUCAGGGCAAAGCAUCGGGAGAAAAGACUGAAGGAAAGGGAAGCCAGAAGAGAAGCCAGUAAGAGACAAGCAAAGGCCAGAGAUGAAGAGGAAGCUUUUCUGGAUUGGAGUGAUGAUGAUGAUGAUGAUGGAUUUGAUCCAAGCACACUUCCAGAUCCAGAUAAGUACAAAAGCUCUGAAGAAUCGGACAGUGACGAUACGGAGAAUAAAAUUAGCCCAGUCGUGGCUCCACCCUCACACGUACUCCUGCCAGAGGAGAUUCCUGGGCUCCUUCUCAUCUCGUGUCUUCCAACCACGUGUGUGUCGUGACCGAGAUGCUAGUUGGUUUCAGGCGAGUGAUGAAGAUAGGAAACAGCUGCUAUUGUAGCCCAGCGCGUCGCAGCUCCCUGGAAAGAGUAAUACAAGCUUGUUACAGAAAAAUGAGAAGAUACAUAUACCAGAAAAAAAAAAUAAUCUAAAAAAAUCUUCCGGCUCUUUUUCUCUGCAAACAUGCAUACAAGCCUUUGUUAAAGAUGGACUCUUGUUCUGUAUUGGUUUUGUAACUGUUUUCAGUGUCAAUAAAGAAAUUCCUGCAACAUUGUUUUUAAUUGCUGCAUAGUGUUUUCAUUUUUAAUUUUAUAACUUAUUUCACAAAUGAGUCCCUUAUGAUUGGAUGUUUGGGUUUUCAACUUUCUGAGAUUACAUAUAGUUUUGCCUUCAGUGUUCUGUAACUAAAUCUUUAUACACAUCCUUAAUUAUUUCUUUGGGAUAAAUUCUCAGAAGAGAAAUUGCUGGGUAGGCAUACUUGAAAGACUUUUGAAAGGUGCCACCAGAUUGCCCUCCAGAAAGCUUAGUAGUAAUCUGUAUUCCUACCCAGGAGUUUUUACAUUCUAAUUAGGAGUUAUGAUGCAUACAGGUGAAAAAAAAAUCAUUUUAGUGUUAGAAAGUAGUAAUGCUAAGUGCAAAAUUACUAAUCAACAAUUAGAGUUGUAGGCAUUCAGAGGAAAGAGAUCAUUUUUAAUAAGGGAGUUUGGGUACCUUUCAUGGAAGAUGAGAAAUUGAAGAUGGUUUUUUUGUUUUGUUUUGUUUUUUAUGUUUGUUUUAUUUUUGAGAGAGAGAGAGCACAAGCAGGGGCGGGACAGAGAGAGAGGGAGACACAGACUCCGAAGCAGGCUCCAGGCUCUGAGCUGUCAGUACAGAGCCCAACGUGCGGUUCGAACCCCCAAACUGUGAGAUCAUGACCUGAAUCAAAGUCGGCACUCAAUCAACUGAGCCAUCCGGGAGCCCCUAGAAGUUGAAGAUGGUUCUUGAAGCAAGGGAGGGAUGAACAGGAGGGAGGUACCCCAUUGACAAGAAGGGCACAGGCGGGACGUACAAGAGGGCUGUCUGAUCUAAACAAGGGCUACAUUUGAAGAGUCCAGGAAGAGGGGCCAGGAGGAAGGUUGACCUCAUCAGGUUAACUCCAGGUGUUCCUCCCUCUUUUGUUUCUCAUGAAUGUACUUAAUACAGGCUAUACUCAUUCUGGGUGACUAGGCAGCUACAAGUACCUGAAAAAGUUAAAAUGUGGAAACCAGGAAAUCAAACCUACUGUAAAAUCUGUUCAGUUUCUGGGAGAAUUGAGUUUUGGGUUUAGAAAACUUAGAAAAUAAGAAAGUUAUAUUCCAUUUAAAACUCAAUAAUGUAUUUAUUAACAUGUUAAAGUUGAGUUCACAUUUCAGUGUUAAAUCCUUUUUUCUUAUUAUCAGUGAAUAAAUUGGUUUACAUGUUUACAUUGGGUAUUGUGAUGUGCUUCCAUGUAAUCAUUUUCACUUAAAUUUCAAAGCCAUUGAAGUAACAUUUCCCUGUUAUUGUUGGUUCAGAUUACAUAUUACAACAUGAUAUUUUUCUUUGUGUUUUGUUGUAUGAUUAGUUCUUUAAAUGACACAUCAGACAUUACUAAUUAAGCCUCUCUAUUAAUUGGAUUAUUGAAAGAUAAAUAGUUCUGAAUUAUUUUGCUUUGGUGGUUUUGUGUUGAGAACUAUAGUGGGGCUUUUAGUGCCCUGAGCCAUACUUUUGCUUUUUAAGCUGUGUUAUAUCAGCCAAUAUAUUGUACUGUUACAAUGUUGACCAGUGAGAUGGCCCUUUUUGACACUGAGUUCAUAGACUUGAAGUAUGUGGAGAUAGUUUGACACUUUAUGUCCCAUAGAAAUACUGAAAUAAAAAUAAAAUGCAGAGCUCAGGCCCAGACUCUUGGCCCUGUUUUGUAGGCCACCUCCUAGUUGUCAGUUCAUACUGUGAGCUUCCUUACCUCCUUCAGUCCAGUGGAGUAAACUUACUCGGAGAAGAAGAUUCACAGGUGUUACUGCUGUCUCUCACCUGUAUUGUGGUUCUUCCUUCCAGCAGACCUGUUUUCAUAAUGUCCCACCAUGUGAUUGGUAAACUGUAUCAAUGAUGUGCUACCACAGGUCAGCUAACAGAACUCUUGGUUGGGAGGCACAAGAGCCCCAUCCAGCAAUUGCAGAUAAUAGUUAAAGAACCAAGAAACUAGAACUAACUCACUGUUACAUGCAGUAUUAGGCUGUCGACCAAUCCUAAGGACAUCCGAGGUCUUAAUUAGAUUCAAUAACUCCCCAGGGAACAUUAACUCUACAGGGUCAGAACCCUUCCACUUGAUUUAUCAGGAUGUAAAUAAAAUAGAGGUUUCUAGUGCCACGCAAUUUCCCCCAGCUUUAUUGAGAUAUAGUUGACAUAGAACAUUAUGUAAGUGUAAGGUAUACAGCAUGUUAUUUGAUAUACUUAUAUAUGUUGUGAAAUGAUUUUCACCCUAGUAUUAGCAAACCCUCUAUAGCAUUACAUAGGUGUGUGUGUGUGUGUGUGUGUGUGUGUGUGUGUGUGAGAGAGAGAGAGAGAGAGAGAGAGAGAGAGAGAGAUGAUAACAUUAACCAUUUACUAUCUUAGCAACUUUCAAGUAUCUGAUAAAAUAUUGCUAACUAUAAUCACCAUGUUGUACAUUAGAUCCCCAGAACUUACCUUAAAACUGGAACUUUGUACCUUUGACCAGCAUCUCCCCAUUUCCCCUACCCCUCGGCCUCUGGUAACUACCAUUCUAGUGUCUGGUUUCUGUGUUCACCUUUUUUUAGAUUCCACGUAGAAGUGGUAUCAUACAGAUUUCAUCUUUCUCUGUCUUUUAUUUCACUUAACGUGAUGCCCUCAAGGUCCAUCCAUUUUAUUGCAGAUGGCAGGAUAUCCUUUUUUCUCAUGGUUGAAUAAUAUCCCAUUGUGUAUAUAUAAUAUGCUAUAUCAUCUAUCCAUGACACUUAGGUUGUGUCCAUUUCCUGCCAGUUGUGAAUAAUGUUGAAAUGAACACGAAGAUGUAGAGAACUCUUGAAGAUCCUGUUUUCAUUUCCUUUGGGUAAUACACCCAGAACAGGGAUUUGUGGAUCAUUUGGUAGUUCUGUUUUUAGGAACCUCCAUGCUGGUUUCCAUAGAGGCUGUAUUGAUUGCAUUCCCACCAACAGUGCACAAAGAUUCCCUUUCCACGCUCUCACCAACACCUUGCUAUCUCUUGUCUUUUUGAUGAUAGCCAUUUUACCAGGUGUGAGGUCAUAUCUCAUUGUGGCUUUGAUUUACAUUUCCCUCUUAAUUAGUGAUAAUUGAGUACCUGUUCUUGUACUCGUUGAUCAUGUGUAUGUGUUCCUCUGCCUGUUUUUUAAUCAGACUAUUUGAAGGGAUUUUUUUUUUUUUGCUAUUGAGUUAUAGGACUUCCUUAUAUAUUUUGGAUAUUAAACUUUUAUCAUAAAUAUGGCCUGUAAUAUUUUCUCCAUUUUGUAGGUUGCCUUUUCAUUUUUGUUUUGCUGCGCAGAAGCUUUCUACUGUGAUGUAGUCUUACUGACUUUUGCUUUUGUUUAUUGUGUUUCUGGCAUCAUAUCCAGAAAACUGUUGCCUAGACCAGUGUCACAGCGAUUUAGCCCUGUGUUUUCUUCCUGGAGUUUUAUGGUUUGGAGUCUUCUUUUUAAGUCUUUAAUUCAUUUUGUGGUUAUCCAGUUUUCAUGCCACCUUUUAUGAAAGAGACCAUCCUUUCUCCAUUGAGUAUUUUCUGCUCCCUUGUCAAGUAUGAAUUGACCAUAUGUGCAAGGGUUUAUUUGUUCUCUGUUGUGUUGGUCUGUGUGACUGUUUCUGUGUCAGUACCAUACUACUGGUUUGAUUACUUUAGCUUUGUAGUAUAGUUUGAAAUCAGGGUUGUGAUACCUCUGGAUUUGUUCUUUCUUAGAAUUGCCUUGGCUUGUUGGAAUCUUUAGUGAGUUUAUGAAUUUAGGAUUAUUUUUUCUAUUUCUGUGAAAAAUGCCAUUGGAAUUUUUAUAGAGAUUUCAUUGAACCUAUAGAUAGUUUGGGGUAGUAUGGGCAUUUUAAUGUAUUAAUUUUUCUGAUCCAUGAAUAUGGGAUAUCUUUCCAUUUAUUUGUCUUUUUCACAUUUCUUUCAUCAAAAUCUUACAGUUUAGAGUGUAUUGAUAAUUCACUUCCUUGUUUAAAGUUAUUCCCAAGUAUGAUUUUGAUGUUGUUAUGUUUGUAGGGGGUAAUUUUUUAAAAUUUCUUUCUCAGAUAACUUGCUUUUAAUGUAAAGGAAUGUUACUGUAUUUUGUAUGUUGAUUUUUGUAUCUUGCGACUUUACCUAAUUUAUUUAUUAGUUCUAACAGUCUUUCAUGAAGUCUUUAAGAUUUUCUAUAUAUAAGAUCAUAUCUACAAACAAUUACCAUCUUAAUUCCUUUCUGAUUUGAAUGCCUUUUUUUCCCCUUGUGUGAUGCUUUCAUUAGGACUUCUAGUACUAUGUUGAAUAGAAACCAUGAGAAUGGGCAUCCUUGAAUUGUUCCUGAUCUUAGAGAAAAAGUUUCCAACCUUUACUGAGUAUAAUGUUACCUGUGACUUGUCAUAUAUGGUUUUUAUUAUGUUGAGGCAUAUUCGUUCUCUACCCAAUCUGUUGAGUUUUUGUCAAGAAAAGGUUGCUGAAUUUUGUCAAAUACUUUUCCUGCAUCUAUUGAGAUGAUUAUAUGAUUUUUAUUUUUCAUUUUAUUAAUUUGGUAUAUCACAUUUAUUGAUUUGGGUAUGUUGAACCAUACUUGCAUCCCAGGGAUGAAUCCCAACUGAAUCAUCGUGUGGGAUUUUACUAUGCUGUUGAAUUAAGUUUGCUAAUAUCUUGCUAAUAAUUUUUGCAUCUGCAUUCAUCAGGAAUAUUGACCUGCAGUUUUCUUUUCUUGUUACUAUUUUUAUCUGGCGUUCGCAUUACGUUAGUGCAGUCCUUGUGAAACAUGUUUGGAAUAUUCUCUUUAGUGUUUUAGAAGAGUUUGAGAAGGAUUGGCGUUAAUUCCUUUUUAAAUGUUUGGUAAAAUUCACUAGGGAAACCUUCUGGUUCUGGACUUUACUUUGUUGGCAGAAUUUUGAUUACCGACUCAAUCUCCUUAUUCCCUACUGGUCUAUUCAAACUUGCUAUUUUUUCAUGACUCAGUGUUGUUAGGUUGAUGUUUCUAGGAGUUCAUUCAUUUCUUCUAGGUUAUCCAAAUGGUUGGUGUAUAAUUAAUCUGCAGGGGUCUCAUGACCUUUUAUAUUUUUGUGGUAUUGGUUGUUAAGUCUCCUUUCUAGUUUCUGAUUUUUAAUCUUUCUUUUUUCUUGAGUUAGACUAGCCAUAUGUUGGUCAGUUUUGCUUAUCUUUUAAAAAAAUUACUCUUUUUUUUUAAUCUUUUUUUUAUUUUGUUUUUCUGGUCUCUUAUUUAUUUUUUUCCUGAUCUGUGUAUUUCAUUACUUCUGCUAACUUUGGACUUCAUUCGUUCAUUUUUUAGUUCGCUGGAGGUGAAAAGUUAGGUUGUUUGAGAUCUUUCUCGUUUCUUAAGGUCAGCUUUUAACACUGUAAACUUCCCACUUUGGGAAGAUGCUUUUGCUACAUCUCACAAGUUUUGGUAUCUUGUGUUUCCAUUUUUAGAGAUUUAAAAAAAUGUUUUUUAAAAUUUCUUCCUUCACCCAGUGGUUGUUGCGGGUCAUGUUGUUUAAUUUUACAUGUUUGUGAAUUUUUCAGUUUUCCUCUUAUAACUGAUUUGUAGUUUCAUACCAUUGUGGUGUUAAAGAUACUUGAUAAGAUUUUGGUCUUCUUAAAAUUUGCUGAGAGUUGUUUUGUGACCUGUCACAUGAUCUGUCCUGCAGAUUGUUACAUAUAUGCUUGAGAAGAACAUGUAUUCUGUUGCUUCUAUAUGGAAUGUUCUCUCUAUAUAUGUCAGGUCCAUUUGUCUGAAGUAUAGUUCAUUUUCCACAUUUCCUUAUUGAAAUGUCUGGAUAAUCUAGCCAUUGUUGAAAGUGGAUUACUGGAGUUCUCUUUUCUUGUUGUAUUACUGUUUAUUUCUGCCUUCAGAUUUGUUAGUAUUUGCUAAAUAUAUUGUAUUUCUCCGAUGUUGGGUGUAUAUAUAUUUAUGAUUGUUAUAUUCUCUUAAUGAAUUGACUUCUUUAUCAUCAUGUUAUGAUCUUUUUCAUCUUUUGCUAAUUGUUUUUGGCUUAUGGCAUAUUUUGUCUCAUAGAAGUAUAGCUAUCCCUGCUCUCUUUUGGUUUCUACUUGCAUGGAAUAUCUUUUUCCAGCCUUUCAUGUUGAGACUUUAUGUCCUUAAAAGUGAAAUGAGUUUCUUGUAGACAGUAUAUAGUUGGGUCUUAUGCAUCCAGCCACUCUAUGCCUUUUGAUUGGAGAAUUUAAUUCAUUUUAAUUUAGGAUAAUUAUUGAAAGGUAAGGACUUACUAAUGUUAUCUCUUUUCUGUUUUGUCAUUCCCUUGAUUUUUUUUCUUCCUCUCUUGCUGUCUUCCUUUUUGAAUUGAUUUCCUAUAGAGAUGUGCUCUGAUUCCUGUCUCUUUAUCUUUUGUGGAUCUACUUUAAGUUUUUACUUUGUGGUUACCAUGAAACUUACAUAAAACAUCUUAUAGAUAUAAUAGUCUGUUUUAUGCUAAUAAUGGCUUAUUUCAAUUGCAUACAAAAAUUCUAUCCUUUUACUCUGUUCUUAGGGUUUUGGUGUCACAAUUUACCUAUUUUUAUAUUGUGUGUUCAUUAACCAAUAUUAUAGCUAUUGUUAUUUUUUUAUGUUUAUUUUUGAGAGAGAGACAGACACAGUGUGAGUGGGAGAGGGGCAGAGAGAGAGGGAGACACAGAAUCCCAAGCAGGCUCCAGGCUCUGAGCUGUCAGCAGAGAGCCCGAUGCAGGGCUCAAACUCACGAACCGUGAGAUGAUGACCUGAGCUGAAGUUGGACGCUUAGCCAACAACCACCCAGGCACCCCCUGUAGCUUAUUGUUAUUUUUAAUACUCUUGCCCGUUAACCUUUAACCUUCCGUAACCUGAAGUUAUGUGGUGAACACACCACCAUAUUACAGCCCUAGCAUAUUUUGAAUUUAACUAUAUACUUGAAUUUUCCAGUUUAUUGGAUAGUUUCCUAUGUUUUCUUGUACUGUGGAUUCUUUCAUUUCAACUUGGAUUCUUUCAGCUUUUGUUUGUCCAGGAUAGUCGUUAUCUCUCCUUCAUUUCUGAAAGACAGCUUUGUUGGAUACAGUAUUCUUGGUUGGAGGUUUUUUCUUUUCAUAUCCUCCUAUUCUCUCUAAACCUGUAAAGUUUCUGCUGAGUAAUCUGCUGAUAGCCUUAUUGGAAUUCCCUUGUCAGUUGCAAGUUUCUUUUCUCUUGCUGUGUUUAAAAUUCUGUCUUUGUCUUUGAUUUUUGACAGUUUUAUUAUGUGUCUUGAAGGAGAUUUCUUUGAAUUGAAUUUGUUUGGGGACCUAUAACCUUCAUCAACUUGGAUAUCCACGUCUCUCCCCCAGAUGUGGGAAGUGCUCAGCUAUGAUUUCUUUAAAUAGGCUAUCUGCUCCUUUCUUCCUCUUGUCUCCUUCCAGGAUUCCAGUGAUUUACAGAGUGUCGUGGGGUUUUUUUGUUUUUUGAAUGUAUGUCAUAGGUAAUGUAGGCUUUUUUCACUCUCUUUCAUUCUUUUCCUUUGUUCUUCUCUGACUAAUUUCAAAGUUUCUGUUUUCUGACUUGCAGAUUCUUUCUUCUGCUUGAUUCCUUCUAACUUUGAUCCUCCCUUCUAAAGUUUUAUUUUAUUCAUUGUAUUCUUCAGCUGCAGAGUUUCUGGGGCUUUUUGGUAAAUGACUUAUAUCUUUUUGUUAAACUUCCCAUUUUGUUCAUACAUUGUUUUCCUGGUUUAGUUGAGUUUUCUUUUUUUCUUUCUUUCUUUUUUUUUUUUUU